Long non-coding RNA from Chinchilla lanigera (long-tailed chinchilla), 1111 nucleotides. RefSeq lists it as uncharacterized. Lineage: Eukaryota; Metazoa; Chordata; Mammalia; Rodentia; Chinchillidae. The transcript is spliced from 3 exons. The record is from RefSeq and is a predicted model, not a curated record.
AGGAAAAUAAGGAACUAAGCCUUUCAUGUGUUUUUGGCAGGGAUGUGGUAGGCUUAGGAUUUGGAGUGAGACUAUGUUUCUCUUUAACAUGAUAGAAUUGGGGAAAAAGACACGUUAUGUUCAGCACACUCAUCCUUCAGAUGGUGAAACAGUUCCUUGAGAAAUGAGAUGACAAAUGCAUUUUUGGUUUUACAAAAUCGACUCCUGUUUUUCUUCAGUUGGUAUUUAAUUGGCAAUAAGAAUAUUUUCCACAGAGUGAACGAGACACCUGGGGCUCUCAUUGGUAAUGCAUCGGGGCUGUGGGAUCAAUGGCAGAAGAUCAUUUCAACUUCCUUUGAAAGGUAGAAGGGAAGCAGGAUUUGCCAAGCUGGAAGUAGUGUGACAACCACGUAAUGUGGAGCUUUUUCAUGCAGGGCCACAUUAAGCUUCCGGGUGACAUCCAUGUGAGAGUUUGUGUACUAGGGCCACAGCUCCCACCAACUCCUAAAUGGUCACUGAUGUAAAGUAAAAUCAAAGUGAAAGAGUCAGAAACAGAAGUGUAUUUUGGAGAAAACAAAUACCACCACGGAACUGAACAGUAACGGGAGGGAAGCGUUUGCUUACACAAGCACUUUUCUGAGGACCAGGCCCCUGCGGGGGGGGAGGCAGAGCCUCCCUGCCCCAGGAUGCAGCCCCUCACACAGCGAUCUCCAAGUUUUACCUUUCAGUCUCCCCAACCUCAUCGUUUGAUGAUGGAGGCUGACCAGUCCCAACAUGAACAGUCACCAACCUGCAGACCUAGGAGAACUGAUUGCUAAGUUCAGGUCCCCAAACCCAGAAGCUUAAGACUCAGGAAAAGCCAUUCAAAGAGACACCACCACAGACACACCCAGAAAAACGUGUGACUGAAUGUCGGGACAUCCUAGUGGAGAUGAAGAAAUAGAGGCAGAGAGUUUAAAGGCAGAUGCUGAGUUCAAAUCCAGCCUGUCCUGGCACCGUGUCACCCUGGAACUUCUUAUCCUCUCUUGUGGUUUGAUUCCAUCCCAGUAAUGCUUCGCCAACACAAAUGCUUCUGUAACUUCAUUUUCAGAAACACUUUUGGUGCCUACAGGCACUUUUAUAAACCUGACUU